RNAcentral lists this ribosomal RNA (486 nucleotides) under uncultured Planctomycetota bacterium. RNAcentral describes it as "bacterial SSU rRNA". It matches the Rfam family "Bacterial small subunit ribosomal RNA", at positions 29 to 507 of the family's 1533-position model. The record is from RNAcentral. Lineage: Bacteria; Pseudomonadati; Planctomycetota.
AAUGAACGUUGGCGGCGUGGAUUAGGCGUGCAAGUCGAGCGAGAAGUCAUUUGAUGAAGCUUCGGCCGAUUCAGAUGACGGACAGCGGCGAAAGGGAGAGUAACGCGUAGGUACGUACCUCUAGGACUGGGAUAGCGUCGGGAAACUGGCGGUAAUACCAGAUGACGUCUCCGGACCAAAGGUGAGAUUCCGCCUAGAGAGCGGCCUGCGUCCUAUUAGGUAGUUGGUGGGGUAAAGGCCUACCAAGCCGAAGAUGGGUACCGGGUGUGAGAGCAUGGCCCGGCUCACUGGGACUGAGACACUGCCCAGACACCUACGGGUGGCUGCAGUCGAGAAUCUUCCGCAAUGGACGCAAGUCUGACGGAGCGACGCCGCGUGCGGGAUGAAGGCCUUCGGGUUGUAAACCGCUGUCAGUGGGGAGCAAAUCCAUGGUGGCUAUCCAUCAUGGUUGAGCGAACCGCAGAGGAAGCGCAGGCUAAGUUCGUG